This 49-nucleotide non-coding RNA is filed under the name Paracoccus seriniphilus. Its description in RNAcentral is "Guanidine-II sequence". It matches the Rfam family "Guanidine-II riboswitch aptamer (mini-ykkC)". Rfam says of the family: Simpler in structure and has fewer highly conserved nucleotide positions than the ykkC-yxkD leader. Lineage: Bacteria; Pseudomonadati; Pseudomonadota; Alphaproteobacteria; Rhodobacterales; Paracoccaceae. The record is from Rfam by way of RNAcentral.
ACAAGAGGACGACCUCCCCAGAAUGGGAAGAAUCGCCGGGACGGCCCGG